UACGUAGGGUGCAAGCGUUGUCCGGAAUUAUUGGGCGUAAAGAGCUCGUAGGCGGUCUGUCGCGUCUGCUGUGAAAACUCGGGGCUUAACCCCGGGCCUGCAGUGGGUACGGGCAGACUAGAGUGCGGUAGGGGAGACUGGAAUUCCUGGUGUAGCGGUGAAAUGCGCAGAUAUCAGGAGGAACACCGGUGGCGAAGGCGGGUCUCUGGGCCGUAACUGACGCUGAGACGCGAAAGCGUGGGGAGCAAACGGG
RNAcentral lists this ribosomal RNA (253 nucleotides) under uncultured bacterium. RNAcentral's name for it is "partial 16S ribosomal RNA". It matches the Rfam family "Bacterial small subunit ribosomal RNA", at positions 524 to 776 of the family's 1533-position model. The record is from RNAcentral.